CGAAUAUUUUACACAAUACUAUGCAUUUUGAUUGCAGAUCAUAAAUAUAAGGUUUAACUCCUUCACGU
This 68-nucleotide transfer RNA is filed under the name Bipolaris sorokiniana. RNAcentral describes it as "tRNA-Cys". The record is from RNAcentral. Lineage: Eukaryota; Fungi; Ascomycota; Dothideomycetes; Pleosporales; Pleosporaceae.